GUAAUAGUCACCUGGCUGAGAAGUGCCUGGGAUCUUCAGCUACACAAUUCAAAACACCAUGUUCAACACACUCCUUGAACUUACCUCCAUGAGCAAGUUGCUGCUAUCGCUCUCUGGGCAGAAGACAGAAGGAACUCUGCACAUCAGACCUCUAUUAGAAGAUAAUAUCUUUCAUGUGAAAAAAUUGAGGCACAGAGAGGUCAAGUAAUUUGCCCACUGCUGCACAAGUAGAAGCAAAGCUCGUUUCAAAGCUGACUUCCGAGUUCAUGCUUUCAACCACUACACUCUACCAUAACAGGAAGGAUUGACUGUCUGCUCAGCAGGCAUGAAAUGAAGGUAUGAAGGGAUAAGACUUCACGGAAGAUAUGACUGGCUGAGUGUUCUGGACGCCAGGAUAUGUGGAGCAGACUUGCAAUGAAGUGUUCACCAAACCAAACCAAAACAAAACAAAACAAAAAGCAAGUCAUGCCGAGGGUAUGGUAAGUGUGGGCCUUCAGUGAUAGGUCCCUCUGUCUUUUGGGGAGCUCCAUGCUGCCUGAGAGGAAAAGUCAAGAAUGCAGCACCUGGUGAAAGUGGCACCAAUGAUUGGUCAGGCUGAAAAGUGAAGCAGCCCAAUAGAAAGCACAUGUGAUAGUGAGAGGAAAACCUAGGCUUUCAUUCCAGCUCUGAUGCUUGACCAUGGACAUGCCAUGUAACUUCUUUGAGCCCAAGGAAGCUCAGCCUCCCUCAAAAUUGAAAUUUUGUAUAUCAACCUCAUGGUAUUGGGUUAAAAGUAUGAAUGAACAUAAAGCAUCCAGUCAAA
Long non-coding RNA from Canis lupus familiaris (dog), 802 nucleotides. RefSeq lists it as uncharacterized. Lineage: Eukaryota; Metazoa; Chordata; Mammalia; Carnivora; Canidae. The record is from RefSeq and is a predicted model, not a curated record. The transcript is spliced from 3 exons.